GACGAACGCUGGCGGCGUGCUUAACACAUGCAAGUCGAACGGAAAGGCCCUGCUUUUGUGGGGUGCUCGAGUGGCGAACGGGUGAGUAACACGUGAGUAACCUGCCCUUGACUUUGGGAUAACUUCAGGAAACUGGGGCUAAUACCGGAUAGGAGCUCCUGCUGCAUGGUGGGGGUUGGAAAGUUUCGGCGGUUGGGGAUGGACUCGCGGCUUAUCAGCUUGUUGGUGGGGUAGUGGCUUACCAAGGCUUUGACGGGUAGCCGGCCUGAGAGGGUGACCGGCCACAUUGGGACUGAGAUACGGCGCAGACGCCUACGGGAGGCAGCAGUGGGGAAUAUUGCACAAUGGGCGGAAGCCUGAUGCAGCAACGCCGCGUGCGGGAUGACGGCCUUCGGGUUGUAAACCGCUUUCGCAUGUGACGAAGCGUGAGUGACGGUAAUGGGUAAAGAAGCACCGGCUAACUACGUG
This 468-nucleotide ribosomal RNA is filed under the name uncultured bacterium. RNAcentral's name for it is "partial 16S ribosomal RNA". It matches the Rfam family "Bacterial small subunit ribosomal RNA", at positions 28 to 507 of the family's 1533-position model. The record is from RNAcentral.